This 520-nucleotide long non-coding RNA is filed under the name Eucalyptus grandis. RNAcentral's name for it is "long non-coding RNA (EGRA_LNC007600)". The record is from RNAcentral. Lineage: Eukaryota; Viridiplantae; Streptophyta; Magnoliopsida; Myrtales; Myrtaceae.
ACAAUAUGCCCAUAAAAAUGAAACCAAUUCAUUAUCUUCAAUACCAUAUGAAGAACAAAAAAACAGUAGGAGAGAAUUGCCUUAAAAUACCGGAACUUCGAGUAGCCGACUCAAAUGACAGGAUAAUAAGAUAAUUGGACGAGGAAACCAUUGAAGUUCACGAAGAAAGGCCUCCUCUAUCUAAUUCUGCCAUAUCAUUUUAAAUAUAAGGUGGAAGCGAGAAAGCAGCUUAACUCGGCCGAUGAAGAACGCGGUCCAACAAUUUUUUCAAAAAAGCUUGCAAACCUUGCGCUGGAAAGAGCUGCUGUUCGUGACCUCCUCAUCCAAGAACGGAAUCUUCAACAAGGAUGCUAUUUGAGAUACACUAACCCGCAUACUAAUACUGAGAAAAUUUAAAAAUUUCAGAGGCAAUUUACACUGUCAAAACUAAGGACAAACAGCAGAAGUCAACUCACAAUAUCAUAAGCCUUCUCUCACGCCAUGUGUUGCGCCGUCGUAACUUGAGAAUUGAGCAUCUGAA